AUUGAACGCUGGCGGCAGGCCUAACACAUGCAAGUCGAGCGGAUGAAGGGAGCUUGCUCCUGGAUUCAGCGGCGGACGGGUGAGUAAUGCCUAGGAAUCUGCCUGGUAGUGGGGGAUAACGUCCGGAAACGGGCGCUAAUACCGCAUACGUCCUGAGGGAGAAAGUGGGGGAUCUUCGGACCUCACGCUAUCAGAUGAGCCUAGGUCGGAUUAGCUAGUUGGUGGGGUAAAGGCCUACCAAGGCGACGAUCCGUAACUGGUCUGAGAGGAUGAUCAGUCACACUGGAACUGAGACACGGUCCAGACUCCUGCGGGAGGCAGCAGUGGGGAAUAUUGGACAAUGGGCGAAAGCCUGAUCCAGCCAUGCCGCGUGUGUGAAGAAGGUCUUCGGAUUGUAAAGCACUUUAAGUUGGGAGGAAGGGAAGUAAGUUAAUACCUUGCUGUUUUGAUGUUACCAACAGAAUAAGCACCGGCUAACUUCGUG
RNAcentral lists this ribosomal RNA (484 nucleotides) under uncultured bacterium. RNAcentral's name for it is "partial 16S ribosomal RNA". It matches the Rfam family "Bacterial small subunit ribosomal RNA", at positions 30 to 507 of the family's 1533-position model. The record is from RNAcentral.